AGGGGAUUGCCCUUAGUAACGGUCGAGUGAAAGCGGCAACAGCUCAAAUUUGAAAUCUGGCUCCCUUGGGGUCCGAGUUGUAAUUUGCAGGAGGGUGCUUUGGCGUCGGCCGUGGUCUAAGUUCCUUGGAACAGGACGUCACAGAGGGUGAGAAUCCCGUACGUGGCCGCCGGCCUUCGCCGUGUAAAGCCCCUUCGACGAGUCGAGUUGUUUGGGAAUGCAGCUCUAAAUGGGAGAUAAAUUUCUUCUAAAGCUAAAUACUGGCCAGAGACCGAUAGCGCACAAGUAGAGUGAUCGAAAGAUGAAAAGCACUUUGGAAAGAGAGUCAAAAAGCACGUGAAAUUGUUGAAAGGGAAGCGCUUGCAGCCAGACGUGCCCGCAGUUGCUCACCCGGGCUCUCGCCCGGGGCACUCUUCUGCGGGCAGGCCAGCAUCAGUUCGGGCGGUUGGAUAAAGGCCUCUGUCAUGUACCACCCCUCGGGGUGGCCUUAUAGGGGAGGCGGAACACGGCCAGCCCGAACUGAGGACCGCGCAUUUGCUAGGAUGCUGGCGUAAUGGCUGUAAGCGGCCCGUCUUGAAACACGGACCAAGGAGUCUAACAUCUAUGCGAGUGUUUGGGUGUCAAGCCCGGGCGCGCAAUGAAAGUGAACGGAGGUGGGAACCCCUCGGGGCGCACCAUCGACCGAUCCUGAAGUCUUCGGAUGGAUUUGAGUAAGAGCAUAGCUGUUGGGACCCGAAAGAUGGUGAACUAUGCCUGAAUAGGGUGAAGCCAGGGGAAACCCUGGU
Molecule: ribosomal RNA, 785 nt
Filed under: unidentified
Description: Parathyridaria ephedrae partial large subunit ribosomal RNA
Rfam family: Eukaryotic large subunit ribosomal RNA
Source: RNAcentral